UGCCAGUCGAACGCUUCUUUUCUACCGAGUGCUUGCACUCAUUUGAAAAGAGGAGUGGCGGUACGGGUGAGUAACACGUGGGUAACCUGCCCAUCAGAAGGGGAUAACACUUGGAAACAGGUGCUAAUACCGUAUAACAGUCGACACCGCAUGGUGUUGAUUUGAAAGACGCUUUCGGGUGUCACUGGUGGAUGGACCCGCGGUGCAUUAGCUAGUUGGUGAGGUAACGGCUCACCAAGGCGAUGAUGCAUAGCCGACCUGAGAGGGUGAUCGGCCACACUGGGACUGAGACACGGCCCAGACUCCUACGGGAGGCAGCAGUAGGGAAUCUUCGGCAAUGGACGAAAGUCUGACCGAGCAACGCCGCGUGAGUGAAGAAGGUUUUCGGAUCGUAAAACUCUGUUGUUAGAGAAGAACAAGUAGGAGAGUAACUGCUCUUACCUUGACGGUAUCUAACCAGAAAGCCACGGCUAACUACGUGCCAGCAGCCGCGGUAAUACGUAGGUGGCAAGCGUUGUCCGGAUUUAUUGGGCGUAAAGCGAGCGCAGGCGGUUUCUUAAGUCUGAUGUGAAAGCCCCCGGCUCAACCGGGGAGGGUCAUUGGAAACUGGGAGACUUGAGUGCAGAAGAGGAGAGUGGAAUUCCAUGUGUAGCGGUGAAAUGCGUAGAUAUAUGGAGGAACACCAGUGGCG
RNAcentral lists this ribosomal RNA (691 nucleotides) under uncultured bacterium. RNAcentral describes it as "bacterial SSU rRNA". It matches the Rfam family "Bacterial small subunit ribosomal RNA", at positions 56 to 717 of the family's 1533-position model. The record is from RNAcentral.